UGAGGCUAAACCCUUAUAGGGGAUUAUGUCUGGAAUGACUUUUCCCUCAAACGCAAGGCCUAAGGAUGGGACGGCGGCCGAUUAGGUUGUUGGCGGUGUAAUGGACCACCAAGCCAAAGAUCGGUACGGGUCUUGAAAGAGAUAGCCCGGAGAAGGGCACUGAGAUACUGGCCCUAGCCCUACGGGGUGCAGCAGGCGCGAAAACUUUACACUACACGCAAGUGUGAUAAGGGAACUCCAAGUGCUUAUACUAAGUAUAGGCUUUUGCCAAAGUCAAAACCUUUGGCGAAUAAGUGGUGGGUAAGACGGGUGCCAGCCGCCGCGGUAACCCCCGCGCCACAAGUGGGGACCACAUUUAUUGGGCCUAAAGCGUCCGUAGCCGAUCUAGUAAAUCUGCUGUGAAAUUGUUGCGCUUAACGUAACAGCGCGCAGUGGACACUGCUAGAAUUGGGACUGGGGGGAGUCAUGAGUAUUUCUGGGGGAGCGGUAAAAUGUUAUAAUCCCAGAAGGACUACCCGUGGUGAAAACGUAUGACUAACACAGAUCCGACGGUGAGGGACGAAAGCUGGGGGAGCAAUCCGGAUUAGAUACCCGAGUAGUCCCAGCUGUAAACUCUGCGAGCU
RNAcentral lists this ribosomal RNA (623 nucleotides) under uncultured archaeon. RNAcentral describes it as "bacterial SSU rRNA". It matches the Rfam family "Archaeal small subunit ribosomal RNA", at positions 141 to 768 of the family's 1478-position model. The record is from RNAcentral.